UGAUAGAAUCAUUCUAUUUCA
RNAcentral lists this non-coding RNA (21 nucleotides) under Caenorhabditis elegans. The record is from RNAcentral. Lineage: Eukaryota; Metazoa; Nematoda; Chromadorea; Rhabditida; Rhabditidae.